RNAcentral lists this unclassified non-coding RNA (340 nucleotides) under soil metagenome. RNAcentral's name for it is "partial contains 5.8S ribosomal RNA, internal transcribed spacer 2, and large subunit ribosomal RNA". The stretch from base 1 to 120 matches the Rfam family "5.8S ribosomal RNA", at positions 35 to 154 of the family's 154-position model. The record is from RNAcentral.
GAUGAAGAACGCAGCGAAAUGCGAUACGUAGUGUGAAUUGCAGAAUUCAGUGAAUCAUCGAAUCUUUGAACGCACAUUGCACCUCUCGGUAUUCCGGGAGGUAUGCCUGUUCGAGCGUCAUUUGUACCCUCAAGCUCUGCUUGGUGUUGGGUGUUUGUUCCGCCUCUGUGUGUGAACUCGCCUCAAAACAAUUGGCAGCCGGCGUACUUGUUUCGGAGCGCAGCACAUUUUGCGAUCCAGAUCAACGUACAGCGGCAUCCAAGAAGCCUUAUUUAACGCUCUUGACCUCGGAUCAGGUAGGGAUACCCGCUGAACUUAAGCAUAUCAAUAAGCGGAGGAU